RNAcentral lists this non-coding RNA (48 nucleotides) under Schistosoma mattheei. Lineage: Eukaryota; Metazoa; Platyhelminthes; Trematoda; Strigeidida; Schistosomatidae. The record is from RNAcentral.
AUUCAGCUGACCAGUCUGAAAUAGGACGAAACGCACGUCAAACUGGAU